RNAcentral lists this ribosomal RNA (238 nucleotides) under uncultured bacterium. Its description in RNAcentral is "partial 16S ribosomal RNA". It matches the Rfam family "Bacterial small subunit ribosomal RNA", at positions 96 to 334 of the family's 1533-position model. The record is from RNAcentral.
UGGCGGACGGGUGAGUAACGCGUGGGUAACCUGCCUUGUACUGGGGGACAACAGUUGGAAACGACUGCUAAUACCGCAUAAGCGCACAGCUUCGCAUGAAGCGGUGUGAAAAACUCCGGUGGUACAAGAUGGACCCGCGUCUGAUUAGCUGGUUGGUGAGGUAACGGCCCACCAAGGCAACGAUCAGUAGCCGACCUGAGAGGGUGACCGGCCACAUUGGGACUGAGACACGGCCCAA